UACAGAGGGGGCAAGCGUUGUUCGGAAUUAUUGGGCGUAAAGGGCUCGUAGGCGGUUUGUCGCGUCGGGAGUGAAAACACGGGGCUUAACCCCGUGCCUGCUUCCGAUACGGGCAGACUAGAGGUAUGCAGGGGAGAACGGAAUUCCUGGUGUAGCGGUGAAAUGCGCAGAUAUCAGGAGGAACACCGGUGGCGAAGGCGGUUCUCUGGGCAUUACCUGACGCUGAGGAGCGAAAGUGUGGGGAGCGAACAGG
This 253-nucleotide ribosomal RNA is filed under the name uncultured bacterium. RNAcentral describes it as "partial 16S ribosomal RNA". It matches the Rfam family "Bacterial small subunit ribosomal RNA", at positions 524 to 776 of the family's 1533-position model. The record is from RNAcentral.